This is a long non-coding RNA of Felis catus (domestic cat), 4450 nucleotides long. RefSeq lists it as uncharacterized. The transcript is spliced from 3 exons. The record is from RefSeq and is a predicted model, not a curated record. Lineage: Eukaryota; Metazoa; Chordata; Mammalia; Carnivora; Felidae.
UAGUCACUCACAGAACCCUCACAUGCACUUCAUUCAGGACUCAGCUCAGAUGGUGUCUCCUCAGAAAGGCUUCUUCUGGUUAUUUUAUUGUAGUAACUCUGCACCUGAUUUUAUAGAUUUUCUUGUUUCUCAAAUUAUUGUCCCACACUGGACCCGAGUUCCACGAGGCAGAGACCUAGUCAAUCUUUUCAUCGCUGUAUUCCAUCUUCCUACAAAAGCCACAGUAGGUCUCCAUUAAAUCUUGAAUUAAUAUAUGAAUACAUGAAUUUAAUCUAUAAUAUAUCUGGAAUUUUUAAGCAUGUAUAUAGACUUUAUCACUCAUGAUCAUUCUAUAAACACUAGGAGCUCUUUGUGAACUUUCUAUUAUGUUCCAUGGAUUGAUCCAAUACCACUCAUCCAAUGGUUUAUUCCUGGUUUGACUGUAUCUCAAUUGUGGAAGGAUUUGCCACGUUUGUGAAGAUCAUAAUGAAUUUCCACAGCUAGAACAUCACUGGUAUUCAUCUGUUUAGAUUGUUUUUAUGACUUAAACAUUUUUGUUUUAUUUUUAAAGGUCUGUGCCUUUAUGUACUAAUUUUCCAAUAUUUCUCAAUUCCUAAGCAACAUGUUAUUCUUUUUUGUAUCCUUUCUGUGAGAUGGUACAGGAUGCCUCUAGUUUUGGCACAGAGGCCUUGAUUGUAUCUGUGAGUCACCUACGAAAUAGAAUCUCUUAGUUCAUUGUACUGAGCCUCCUUUAUUAUUAUUUGCUAACCAAUCCUCAUGUGUCUGACUUACCUCCAAGACUUCCCCAGGAAGGUAGGUCUUCCUGACAUCGGUUCAUUGGUCACAACUGCUUUCUCCUGACCUUUUCUAUUCUAUCUGCCUAGGAGCUCUUCCUUUCUUAGUUUCCUGGUUAAUAUCCUUUAGAUCUCUGUGCAAUCAUCAUUUCUUCAGGGAAGCUUUCCUUGUCUUCUCUGAGAAAGCUAGCUCCUAUUAUUAAACAUGCUCUCAGCUCGAUGUACUCUCUUUCUUCGCGUUUCUCAGAGUUGCACACGUGUGCAUUUUCUGAGAUUUGAUGACGUCACCACCUGAAUUUAAGUUCACUAAAGGUAAGGACUGUGUCUGGAUUUUACUCUGUAUUUUAUCUGCAGCACCAAGCAUAAUGAACUGACUCAUCACAAGCAUUCAAUAGGUAUUCAUUGAUUAAAAAACUUGGUACUAAACAUUAGAUAAACCACAUUAAAAUAUAUCAUGCAACCGUGCCUGGGAAAAUGUCUAUUUUGUAGAUUGAUAUCACCCUCCUCUUUGACAUUCUUAAAGCUAUUCUGUCCUUUCAAUAAAUCUAUGAAUAACGAUUCAGGUGAAUGAGAACUACAUAGAAUUUUGGAACACAGGCAGCCACAAAACCAUUCAACAUAAUGUAAACUCUUAUCUGAUGCCUCUAAUAGGAAACCAAUGCUGCGCAAAAACAAAGCGCUGACUAGCUUUCAAGAGUGGCAAAUUCAGCAAUACUUUCUGGUGCUCUAGGAAAUUAUUAGCAAUAAGCAUUCUUUGGCCUGGCUUGACCCACAAAGCAUUAAGUUCAUCGUUCAUUUUUAUUGUUUCCUACUUGGAAUGCUGUAAUACUUUAACAAAUUAUCUGAUCAUCUGGUACAUAGAGAUCAGUUCACUUAAAAUCCUGCUAAUUACUUGUCAUCCAUUUAGAGACUAUUGACUAUUGUACACUAAUUUUAAAGAAAUGACAAUGUUCUCUAGAUGCCCAUGGUAUUAAUGUUUACCAUAUUGCUUACCGAGACAAUUCUUUAUUUAAUUAAUCAUCUUUAGCUAGCAAAACCUCUGAGUGGCAGCCAUAUCUGCCAGUCUUGUCCAAUCUGUUUGUGUUGUUCAUCUGCAUUUCCACUCCUAAGAACAGAGUUCUUGAUGAUAUUUUUGGAAAGCUACCUCAUGGAAAUUGGCUUUGAAGAAAUGCUGAGGUUUAUUUCUCUAAACUCUAUGUUUUAAUAAUGUCACAUUGGAAAGGAGCUUUACUAUCAUGGAACAUUUUAGGAAGUAUGUUUAAAAUAGUUGAGGUUGGUGCCUGUCAGAUGAGUGUCUAUUGGCAUUGCCACAGCAAACAUCUAUCUUAUACAAUGGAGGAAGUUUCUGGGUUUUUGUGUACCUUUCUGUUUCAAAAUUUUUAACAAUUUUAUUUCUGAUUAACUACAAAUGUGUGGUCAUUAGUGACAAUAUGAACUCUGAGCUUCCUACAAAUUUAUUUUCCCAAAGAAAACAGAGCGCUUAAAACACCAAGUAUUUUGAAUAUAAAUAAUUAUAAAAGUUUACAUGAGAGAUCAAGACUAAAAAGGAAUGAAUCAUUUCCGCCAGAAUUCAAUUUAAAACUCUGUCUCUAUAACAAAAACAAAGAUUAAAAAGAUCUUAACUUCAAGAACAGAAAAGGCAAUAUUUAACAUAUAUUAAAUGUAGUCAGUGGGAAUUCUGCUAGACAUUUUAUUAAAACUUAUUCAUAAUAAUCUCGAUUAUUACGCACACAAAUUGGUUGGAAUGUAAAAAUAAACGUUGAUUCUUAGUUGAAAAAGUUCUUGUUUUGAAAAGCAUCUUAAAGAAUAUUAUGAUCCUUCCGAAUCCAAUAAUGUAAAGCCUUACAGUCUACCUCUAUUCGCAAUCUUAUCCCAAGAAUUCCGCCACAUUCUGAAAAAUACUUCAUCUCAUGUAUCUUGAAUACUUGUAGCUAAUUUAGUCAAAAGAAUAUGAUUUCAUAUUCAUUGAUUAAUAGUUGUGAAUGACAGUACAUUAAUUUUAAUUUAGAACCAGAAUGUACUAAUUAAUAGCAUGCAUACGCUACUCUCAAGUACAUGUAAUUGACACUUAGAAUAUUCACAUGAUCUUUGAGCACAUUAGAAUGCACAUGCAACGUAAGAACCAUGGAUGCAUUUUAUGAGCUUUGGAAAUAGAGUUUGCUAUGUUUUAAGUUAUGUCACCCAAAAAGAUUCAUUGAAAUCCAAAGCCUCAUUCUGUGAAUGUGAACUUACUUGGAAGUAUGGUCUUUUCAAAUAUAGUCUGGUCAAAAUGAGGUCACAUUUGUUUAGGGUGGACCCUAAUCCAAUAUGACUGGUGUCCUUCUAGGAAGAGAAGAGAUACGGGGGAAAACACCCAUGUGAUAACAGAGGUAGAGAUUGAAGAGCUGCAGCUGGCAAGCUAAGGAAAGUCAAGGAUUGCUGGGAAGCUACCAGAACUUGGAAGAGGCAAGGGAAAAUUCAUUCUCCCCUACAGACUGCAGAGGGAGCACAUGCUUGCCUACAGCUUGAUUUCACACUUCUAAUCUCCAGAUUUGUGAGACAAUAAAUUGCUGUCCAUUGUUCAUGAUACUUUGUUACAGCAGCCCUAGGAAAGUAGUAUGUGGUGAAAAGGUAGAGAUGUUGGUGCCUGUCAAUCAUUUGCCAUAUCAGACCUGGGACAAUUUGAUUUUAUGGUAUUAUUCUUCUACCUCAAAGAACUGCAUGGCUGAUAUUAAUAUAUUUUAAAUUAUAGUGAAGUAAGAGUAGUCCUGUUUUUAAAAAUUUGUUGACACUUCUUGAGACAUUUUUGGGCAUCCUUCCUCUAAAUCGAGACCACUAAACGUUUCCAUUCCUGAAUUCACCAAGAUGUCACAUUUUUUAACGUGCUGCAUUCUCAUCAGUUCUGGAAAAUUCUCACCAUUCUUUUAAUAUGGGUUAUCUUCUUACAGGCAUUCUCCGUUGUAACAAUAAUGUUGCAUAACAAACAUCGACAAAACUUGUGUUUUGAUUAGCGAUGAACGUUAAUUUAAAUGAUGGGCUAUGGGAUUCAUCUGAUCUGGGUUAAGGUUGAUUGAUUUGGUCAGGCUGCCCAUGCUUUUGUGAUCAGCUGUGGAUUAUCUAGGCAUCUUUGUUUAUCUUGGCUAGGUUUACUCCCAUGCUUGGGAUCCGCACUUUGCCACCUGAUCUAGGUUGUCUUCAGUUGGGAUGGCUGGUAACUUGGCUCCGUGUCGUAUGGUUCAUCUUCCAGGAUGCCGGUCAUGCAUGUUCUCUUGGCAUUCACAGAGCUCAGGAGAUAAGCAGGAAGUGUAAGGACUUCUCAAGUCUUUGCUCAUGUUAUAUCUGCUAACAACCCAUUGGCUAAAUCAAACUAUAUGGCUUACCUCGGAAUUGAAAGAGUUCUGGAUAACUGAACAAUGAACUUAACUGAACAAGGAGUCCAUGAAUUCCUCAUCCACCAUGAUAUGUUCUCCUUAAAUGACCCACUUAAAGAAUUUCUUCACUCCUGUGUGCACUCUCGUCCCUUGUCUGGUAUGGAGAGUGUCAUUGUUGACAGGGUGUCACAGCAGCACCAACAUUUUGCUGACCAGCCAGAUGGGUUUUGACAGUUUCACUGAAAAAGGACACAGUGUGAUCAAGAUACCAAUAUUAAGAGUGAAUAAGCUCAACUAAGACCUAUAAUAAAUGAUUCUGGAGCCAUA